Lathyrus oleraceus (garden pea) is the source of this 1234-nucleotide long non-coding RNA. RefSeq lists it as uncharacterized. NCBI's taxonomy places the organism in Eukaryota, Viridiplantae, Streptophyta, Magnoliopsida, Fabales, Fabaceae. The transcript has 3 exons. The record is from RefSeq and is a predicted model, not a curated record.
UACUCACCCCAUUCGUAUCUUAAGACAACACCUUUUUUUCUUCUUUUCACACUCUAUUUAUUUUCAUCUUCUUCCCAGUAAAACUCUUUACAUUCCAAAACAAAUACAUAAGCCUCUGAUACAUUGUGUUUAAUCAUUUCUCACACAUUACAAUUUUCUCUCUCUUUCGUCUUCUUUCUUUUCUCAUUUUCCCCCUCAAACCUUAAAACCUCUGUAGUCGCCGCCAUCACCCUUUCUCCCCUAUUAAAAAGGAGAUUUUGAUUCACCAUAACACAAACAACACUUUUGUCUCAGAUAUUAUGCUUCAUCCCCCUAUCAUCACUCAAACAUGCCUCUCUCUUUCUCACAACAUUAGAAGUCGUGAAAACACUCACUUCAUCUUUCAGAUUUGACUUCUUCAAAAAAAUCUGCUUCCAAAUUUGUUGAUUCAACUGCAAGAAUAAAUGCCAAGAAUCCAAGUGUCAUAAUUUCUCCAUCUCUCUAAUCUUUCAUAUUUUAUUAAAAAUUUAAACUUUUCCUCAGGUUCUUUCAUUUUUUUCAGAUCUGCAUCAUUUCACAUCCUUCUCUCUUCAACGGAAAUCAAAAUGCUCGGAUUUGCAUCAUUUUCCAUAUCCACUUCCAGAUCUGUUGAAUCAACAUCGCCUUAUUUUUAAUAUCUUUUUCCACUUCUUUUAUAUUUGCAGGUUAUAGAUCUACCCAGAUCGAACGAAGGCAUACCCAAAAAUUAACAUUUCCAAAAGGGGUGUUAAUUUAAAUUGAAACUGGGUGUGGUUUGAAUUUUAAACAAGGUAUGGUUUUGAGUUGAAGAAGAGUAUGUUUAUGAUUCGAAACAGAUUUUAGUUAUUGAUUAAUUUGAAACAGAUUUUAGUUAUGGAUGGGGUAUUUUUCUUGAUGUUGAAACAGGACACGGAUUGAUUUAAAAACUUAUUUUGGUUAUGUUUUUUUUCAUUUGAAACAGGUUAUUACUUAGUUCAGGGACUAACACACAUCAAACACACAAUUAAACCCAAGCAUCAUGCAAUAGAUCAAGACAUGAAUAGAGGACCAACCUAUAGGGAUGAGGAUUUUCCUGGUUUGAGCAAAGAGAUGGUUGAAGCUUAGAUUAGGGUUUAGUUGUUGUUGUUCUUCGAUGUGAAGAGCAACAACUUUAGGAUAGUAAAUUUGUAAAUUAUGGAUGAUUUUCAUUGUAAUUUUAGAUCCUAUUUAUAGAGUAAACAUUAGAUCGAGAAUUAAA